UCAGUGCUACUAUUACUUGCAUUCUUAUCUUCUUCUUUUUUUGGGGGGUCAUUUUACAUUUCUACUAUUUAUCAACUCCAGGAAAGUUUCUCAAGGACUCAACAGAACAAUAAUGGAUCUUAAGCUUGGUUUUUAUGUUCUCUCCCUAAAUAUCCUAAUUCAGCUGGUUGCUUAUGGAGCAGAAGCUAGGAAAAUGGUUGAAGGGAACCUGCAGGG
This is a long non-coding RNA of Solanum tuberosum (potato), 216 nucleotides long. RefSeq lists it as uncharacterized. Lineage: Eukaryota; Viridiplantae; Streptophyta; Magnoliopsida; Solanales; Solanaceae. The transcript is spliced from 2 exons. The record is from RefSeq and is a predicted model, not a curated record.